RNAcentral lists this non-coding RNA (777 nucleotides) under Junonia atlites. The record is from RNAcentral. Lineage: Eukaryota; Metazoa; Arthropoda; Insecta; Lepidoptera; Nymphalidae.
AUAAAAUAAUUAUGUUUUUGGAAUUUAUUAUUAAUUUAUUUUACAUAUAAAUUUUAGUAUAUAAUUUUAAUUAUUUUAAAAAUAAUUAAUUUAAUUUUAGUAGUAAUUAAUAUUAAAAAUUUAAGAAAUUAAGAUUUAGUAAUAUAAAAAUUAAUAACUAAUUUUGUGCCAGCAGUUGCGGUUAAACAAAAGUUAAAUUAAAUUAUUUCAGUAUAUAAUAAAUAAUUAAAUUGUUAAAAUAAAUGUUAGAUUAUUAAGUGAAAUUUUAAUUUAAUUAAAUUUUAUUUUAAAAUUAUGAUUUAAUAAAUUUUGAUAUAAACUAGGAUUAGAUACCCUAUUAUUAAAAAUUUAAUUUAUAAUACUAAAAUAGUAAAUAAUAAUUUAUUGAAACUUAAAUAACAUGGCGGUAUUUUAGUUCAUUUAGAGGAAUCUGUCUAAUAAUUGAUAAUCCACGAAUAAAUUUACUUAGUUUAUAAUUUUGUAUAUCAUUGUUAAAAAAAUAUUUUUAAGGAAAAAUAAUAUUUAAUAUUUAAAAUUAAAAGUUAAAUCAGAUCAAGAUGCAGAAUAUAAUUAAGAAUAUGAUGGAUUACAAUAAUUAUAAUUAAAUGAAUAAUUUUUUUUUUGUAAUAAAAAUUUGAAGGUGGAUUUAAAUGUAAUUUUAAUUAAUUUAUUAAAAUGAUUAAAAAUUAAAAUAUGUACAUAUUGCCCGUCACUUUCAUUUAAAAAUUGAAAUAAGUCGUAACAAAGUAGAGGUACUGGAAAGUGUUUCUAGAAAGA